UGGGGAAUUUUGGACAAUGGGCGAAAGCCUGAUCCAGCCAUGCCGCGUGAGUGAAGAAGGCCUUCGGGUUGUAAAGCUCUUUUAGUCGGAAAGAAAGAGUUGCAAUGAAUAAUUGUGAUUUAUGACGGUACCGACAGAAAAAGCACCGGCUAACUACGUGCCAGCAGCCGCGGUAAUACGUAGGGUGCGAGCGUUAAUCGGAAUUACUGGGCGUAAAGGGUGCGCAGGCGGUCUUGCAAGUCAGAUGUGAAAGCCCCGGGCUUAACCUGGGAAUUGCGUUUGAAACUACAAAACUAGAGUGCAGCAGAGGGGAGUGGAAUUCCAUGUGUAGCAGUGAAAUGCGUAGAGAUGUGGAAGAACACCGAUGGCGAAGGCAGCUCCCUGGGUUGACACUGACGCUCAUGCACGAAAGCGUGGGGAGCAAAC
RNAcentral lists this ribosomal RNA (426 nucleotides) under uncultured bacterium. RNAcentral describes it as "bacterial SSU rRNA". It matches the Rfam family "Bacterial small subunit ribosomal RNA", at positions 355 to 773 of the family's 1533-position model. The record is from RNAcentral.